GACGAACGCUGGCGGCGUGCUUAACACAUGCAAGUCGAACGGAAAGGCCCUGCUUUUGUGGGGUGCUCGAGUGGCGAACGGGUGUGUAACACGUGAGUAACCUGCCCUUGACUUUGGGAUAACUUCAGGAAACUGGGGCUAAUACCGGAUAGGAGCUCCUGCUGCAUGGGGGGGGUUGGAAAGUUUCGGCGGUUGGGGAUGGACUCGCGGCUUAUCAUCUUGUUGGUGGGGUAGUGGCUUACCAAGGCUUUGACGGGUAGCUGGCGUGAGAGGGUGACCGGCCACAUUGGGACUGGGAUGCGGCCCAGACUCCUCCGGGAGGCAGCAGUGGGGAAUAUUGCACAAUGGGCGGAAGCCUGAUGCAGCAACGCCGCGUGCGGGAUGACGGCCUUCGGGUUGUAAACCGCUUUCGCCUGUGACGAAGAGUGAGUGACGGUAAUGGGUAAAGAAGCACCGGCUAACUACGUG
This 468-nucleotide ribosomal RNA is filed under the name uncultured bacterium. RNAcentral's name for it is "partial 16S ribosomal RNA". It matches the Rfam family "Bacterial small subunit ribosomal RNA", at positions 28 to 507 of the family's 1533-position model. The record is from RNAcentral.